Molecule: ribosomal RNA, 292 nt
Filed under: uncultured bacterium
Lineage: Bacteria
Description: partial 16S ribosomal RNA
Rfam family: Bacterial small subunit ribosomal RNA
Source: RNAcentral
GUGUCAGCCGCCGCGGUAAUACGAAGGGGGCUAGCGUUGUUCGGAAUUACUGGGCGUAAAGCGCACGUAGGCGGACUUGUCAGUCAGGGGUGAAAUCCCGAGGCUUAACCUCGGAACUGCCUUUGAUACUGCAAGUCUUGAGGAUGAGAGAGGUAAGUGGAACUGCGAGUGUAGAGGUGAAAUUCGUAGAUAUUCGCAAGAACACCAGUGGCGAAGGCGGCUUACUGGCUCAUUUCUGACGCUGAGGUGCGAAAGCGUGGGGAGCAAACAGGAUUAGAAACCCUGGUAGUCC